Neofelis nebulosa (Clouded leopard) is the source of this 1816-nucleotide long non-coding RNA. RefSeq lists it as uncharacterized. The transcript has 2 exons. NCBI's taxonomy places the organism in Eukaryota, Metazoa, Chordata, Mammalia, Carnivora, Felidae. The record is from RefSeq and is a predicted model, not a curated record.
CACCUGGGUAGCUCAUUAGGUUAAACAUCUGACUUCUGCUCAGGUCAUGAUCUUGCAGUUCAUGAAUUCAAGCCCCACAAUGAACUCUCUGCUGUUAGUGCAGAGCCCGCUUUGGAUCCUCUGUCCCACUCUCUCUUUCCCCUUCGUCUGCUUGCAUGUGCGCGCGUGCAUUUUCUCUGUCUCUCAAAAAUAAAGAUAAAAUUUUUGUUCUAAUAAUAAAAUUUAAAAAAAAGAAAAGAAGCAAAUAGGGUAGUUACAAGUCUGGAUAUGCCAGUUCUGAAAGUCCUGGUUCUGUAGGAUUCCUCAUGAAGGGGAGUGGGCCUGCACACCAAGGAAGAGGUUGGAUUUCUCCUAGAGACAUGUGCAUGUUAGAGAGAUGCCAUGCACGUGGAAGGCCCAGUGUACACACCAACGUAUAUACCAGAGGAGCCUGUAUCACUGACCUUUGAGAGGCGGCUCAUUCUCUCUUCAUUGUCUUCCAGGACACGCAAACUUGGAGGCACGUACCAGAAGCAGACAUUUGUGUGCUGAGGCUACAAGGAGGAAAGUGUUUUUGUUGCCUUUCAUGUCAUCUCGGCUCUCCACGGUAGUUUCCUUUUCUUUUGGAGCCCUCAUUCUCUAAGCAAUUAUUUUGAUUACUUGAGGGGAAAAUUUGCCUCUGUCAUUCUGAGGGGUAAUUAUGGAAGUCAUUAAUGACAGAGGACUGGGCUAUUCUCUUCCUGCGGAUAAGAAGCAUCAUCAGAGACCCCCCCCCCCCCAGCACGCCUGUUUAGCUCCUGACCAUCAUGAAAAUUUACCAUUUCCAGACUGCACUUCUGUUCACCAAUGUACCCCCAUUAUGGAACAAAUAGGGUAGGUACUCAAUGAAUAUUUGCUGAACAAAUGAAUGUAUUAAUCUUAAAGGGCACACAGAUGCUUUGUUAGCCUGUCAGUCUGCAAGGCUCAUUAGAUUUCUCCUUUGGGGACAAAUGAUUUACAUGCUUGUAACAGGCGAACAUAAUCACAGAGGUCUUUUUAGUUUCCGGCUCUGGAAGCCCAGGAUCUGGACUUGUGAAAAACAACACUACAGCCUUGGACUGGUGCUGUUUACCGACCUCAGGACACUUCAGGGAAUUACUUUUCAAAAUGGCUUUCCUCCUAAUCCUUUCAGCAUUUAUGGAGCACUAAUGGAAAGCUUAGACAAACAGCUAAUGCUCAUCCCAGGAGCACUUAGAACAGGCCAACCAGUGACUAAUCCAACAUGGAAACUGGAGGAAGAAGCUGCAAUGGACAUAAGAUGGGCCCACAUUCCUAUUUAUAGCCUCAUCACCUCAGCUAAAAGGGGGAUACAGCAUGGCCAGUGACUUGAAUGUCUGAAGCAUCAAAGAAAUCUGAUGGGUUCAGAAAUCAUUUCUGUGGAGAUUGCUGCCCUGGUUGAUUGGCCACGAGUUUGACUGGUUCCUGAUGGCUCAAAGGAAGGGCCCCAAAGCUGAAUAUUCAGGCCAGAGCCUACACCAUGCACUAUAUGACUCUGUGGUACCAAGGAUUCGGGGUUGGUUCGGACUGACCUGGCAGUUUGGGUACACUUGGUAGGUACACUUUGGGUACUCCUAGGUAGGAGGAGGGAAGUUAAUUGGUCUCCAUACUGGAUCCUUUGGACCACUCCAGAGUUGGAUUUAAACUUGCAUGUAUCUGAUCCAAGAUAAUAGCCAGGACCACUAGGACUCAUCCUGUCUAGUCACAUGGCCUUGGCUAAUCUUACUGGUCCCAUGGGAAUGAUGGUGCUUGUCUGAUCUCCCAUAUAGGGACAUGGUAAAAGUAAAAUGAAUACUCUGAA